Molecule: unclassified non-coding RNA, 278 nt
Filed under: uncultured Anabaena sp.
Lineage: Bacteria; Bacillati; Cyanobacteriota; Cyanophyceae; Nostocales; Nostocaceae
Description: partial 16S-23S ribosomal RNA intergenic spacer
Source: RNAcentral
UAGGGAGACCUAAUCCAUUUAGAAAUCGAAAACAAUGAAAAUUGUCAAUAGAAACUAAAUUGGUCUAACCUAGGUCGUUCGAGAUUGGUAGACAUCUUUCAAAGUAUUAUUCGGCUUCGUUCAAAACCAUAUAUAAUAAAUGGAAAAAGACAGCACCUAAUUGUCAAAGUUAGACUGCCGGAUGAAGUUCCAGCCAGAACCUUGAAAACUGCAUAAGAGAACAAGAAAAAGCAGGCAGACACAGACAUUUAGAUGGAUGUGGAAGCAAAAGAAAUUGU